UCGCAUCUGUGCAUGCAGCAUAUCAAUAAGCGGAGGAAAAGAAACUAACAAGGAUUCCCCUAGUAACGGCGAGUGAAGCGGGAAGAGCUCAAAUUUGAAAUCUUAAAGGGUUUCCCUUUACGAAUUGUAGUUUAAAGAAGUGUUUUCUGUUGAGGUUCUGGUAAAAGUUCUUUGGAAUUAGGACAUCAUAGAGGGUGAGAAUCCCGUAUUUGACCUUUACUUUCAACUUUGUGAUACACUUUCAAAGAGUCGGAUUGUUUGGGAAUGUAGUCCAAAAUGGGUGGUAAAUUUCAUCUAAAGCUAAAUAUUGGCGAGAGACCGAUAGCGAACAAGUACCGUGAGGGAAAGAUGAAAAGAACUUUGAAAAGAGAGUUAAACAGUACGUGAAAUUGUCAAAAGGGAAGCGUUUGACACCAGUGUUGUUUUUCUGAAAAUCAAUUAAAGAACUGUUUAUGCUAAGUUGUUUAGACUUUAUCAGCUAACUGUUUAGUUUUGAACUUUUCUUUAAUGCACUUUUCAGUUAACAAGUCAACAUCAAUUUCUUUUGCUGUAAAAAAGCUUGAGGAAGGUGGCUUGAGAUUCGUCUUAAGUGUUUAUAGCCUCUUGUCUAUGCAGUCGGAGAGAUUGAGGUCUGCAGCGUAGAUCCUUCGGGGCUAAAUGCAUUUGUGCUAGGUUAUAGCAUUUUAUAGACAACUUGUUGACUAUGAUUUGUCUUGUAGCUUACUCGCCUAUGUUAUUUUACCUACGCUUAGGAUGUUGAACGCGCACAGAGUCUC
Molecule: ribosomal RNA, 776 nt
Filed under: uncultured Neocallimastigales
Lineage: Eukaryota; Fungi; Neocallimastigomycota; Neocallimastigomycetes; Neocallimastigales
Description: partial large subunit ribosomal RNA
Rfam family: Eukaryotic large subunit ribosomal RNA
Source: RNAcentral